AAACGAUGCAGACAAAGCGGUAUUGAAACCUAAAAAUAGAAUGGCAGGGCCAGAUUUAAAUCAGGUUCACCUCGCUGGACUCAAGGACUGUGCAGCUCCAGAGAUCGCUGCCGGGGUGAGGGCUCGGGGCUGCCCGGCACACAGCCACUGCCCGCCCCGCAGCCCGGGGUUGCUGCUCGUCCUGCGGUGCCGGAGCCAUGGAGUUGUGCCAUUUGGCAGCAUCUCCCUCCCUGCCAAGAGGGGUGCGUUGCUUUCCUUAGGGAUGGAGGUCAGGACCCCGCUCCGUUUUGCACCAGGAGCACCGAGGAGGGCUGGGCUCACGGUCUGAGGGAAGCCCUGCGAGAGCUGCCUUCCCCUCAGGCCUCCUCCUACAAAUCUUUCCACGCUGCAAACAGAAAUUUGCAAAUCUAGGCCAAGCAUUCCCUGCUCCUAUUUCACCACCCAUGCUGUCGGAGGACGGUUGUGCUGUGUGCUAUGGAGACGCAGCACCUCAGGAUAAACCUGGACCGCUCUGCUCCGUGCUCAUGCGGCCCAGUGGGGUCCUCUUCUAUACCUGGACCAUUACCCUGGGACUAAUUAAAAUAAUUAACAAGUGUAAUUAACUGUUGAGAGUUUUAGCACAUUAUAUCAGCAACAAUUAAAUAAAUUGCCCGUUUUGUCUUGCAAAGAAAAGACAGAGAGGGGAACAAGGAGGAGGGAGGUGGAGAGACUGAUGCUGUGGCACGGGGAAGUGAAUAGGGGUCGGUGGCUCUUGUGUUGGAAGACAAAGCAGACAAAGCUGUGCCCCAUGGAAUUACCGAGUGGCAGAUGCAGAUCGGCCACAUUUCCCGCAGCGUGUAAUUAAGCUGAGGAGCUCAUUGCCCAAAUGAAUCCCCAGAUCCGGGGGGCACGGAGUGCUGGGGGCCCUGUGUUGUCCCCAGGUCCCUGCUGCCUGCUCCUGCUGUGCAUUCGGUGCCACAACACCGCGGUGGCUGCUCCGCAGAGUUAGGGGACGCGUCCCAGCCAUGUUCCAGCACUGCUCAGCCUGGCUCCAGCCUCCAGCACGGAGCCUUGGGGUUCGCCUCUCCUCACCAUCAGUGACCCCGGGCUGCAUUUUGGGCAGCACAGGAGCCCAGCGGGAUAGAGCAGAACCCACGUGCAGGUGCCCCUCUGCCCAAGGGACAGGGACAGCGGCUGAGCCAAUCCUGAGGUGAGGGGAGCAAGUAGGUGCCCUGCUUUGCUUUGUGCACCUUGCUGAAAUGCGUGAGCCCAAAGGGAAAGAAACAGCAGAAAUCCAAGCAAAUAAGGAAGAGAUCCAAGCAAAUACGAGGCCCAUCACAGUCAGUGGAGGUCCCUCUGCAGGCUGAACACAGGGAGGGCUCCAUCCCCACCUAUUUCUGCUCCAAGCAUGCCAGCGCGACUCAGCUGCCUUUCCUGAUUGAAAUCUAACACCUUUUAUACGGUUCACGUCUCAUAACUCGGGGGGGGGGGGUUUAAAGAAAAAUUAAUUCCUUGGACUUUGGCACCAGCGGGCAGCGGUCGGGGCAGAAGCUGUUCUCCUGCCUUGCAGAGCCACGCUCCCCCCCAGCAUCUCCCGUCAGCAUCUUCCUUCAGCCCAUUUGUUUUAGGGGAACACAAAAGCUCUGCUUUCUGCCCGUUUUCCCCCCCGUGCCGCCCGGUGCCCCCACACAGCCCCAGUGCCCACGGCCUCCCGCUGCCAUCUGCAUGACAAAGCCCACUGCUCCGCGCCUUUUGGGGAUUGCCCGCACCACAAACCUUAUGGGCUUCAUCAAUAGCUCGGAUGAUUUUAGGGUCUAGGUUUUUAUUCACUACAGCGUUGGCUGACAAAGCCCAUUACAUCAUCUGUUUGGAAGAGAAAUUCUCUGCAGCUGCUUGUGUGGCACAGGGGGGUUUGCUGGAAAAAAUAAGGCAGAUUUUUUUUUUUCCGUUUGGUUUUGUUUCAUUCUUUCAGGGCAAUUUUCCUUCAAAUUGCUGGAAAACUGCACGUUAAAAAGGCUUCCAAAGUGGAAAGGAAAAGGGCAGAGCGCAGCAGCUUUAAGCAUUCUUUUUUUUUUUUGCUUUUUUUCAUUUCCCUUCCAAAAAGCCGGGGGGAGGGCAGCCCCCGCUCAGGGCCGUGUGUGGGGCUGGGGUGUGGGGACAGCGGGGUGCCCCGUCCUGUCCCAUUGCUGCUGGGAAGUCCUCCUGGCUCAGCACCGGUGUGAGCAGAGGAAUCCCUCCUGAGCUCAAAAGAGGCUGAAGUUGUAGCUUGGGUUGCUGUUGGAAUGGCUGCUAAGCUCGAAAGAAAGGUUUAUAAUUCAUAGGGUAACACAGCGCACGGCGCUAUGGAAAACAGCUCUUCACUCACUGCAAUUAAGAGUGAGAAAACCCCAUAACUGCAGAUAAAAAUCCGUUAUUAUAGAUGAGUGUGACAGACCACUGCGUUUCCCCAUCAGGUGAGCAGCACGGAUGGGCCGAGCCUCGUUAGCACAGGGCUUUCACAAGUGGGUUCUGAGACAUUUAAACUGUAUCCAGGAAAAGAUGGGUCCUAAAUGCACCGCAGGUGUCACUGCCGAAUGUGUCCUUGGGGGUAAUCCGGAUGUGCUGAGGAGCACGGAGGCGCAGCGCUGACACAGCACGGUGGGGGUGGGCUGGAGGUCCCAACCUGAAUGAGUGGAUGGCUGAGCGAUGGGAAUGCUGCCGGGUUGUGGCAGCCUCGGCAAUGGGGAGAAGGUGUGGGGGACGGGGGGUGAUCCGGGUCUGGGAGUUUCUUUUAGCAGCAGAGAUUGGCUCACGUUCAGUUCAUGUUUUAUCUCGGAUAGGAAUUGAUUUUUUUUUAAUAGGUCGAGAGUUCAGGAAAGCUAAAAUAAUAAUAAUAAUAAUAAUAAUAAUAAUAAUAAUAAUAAUAAACCAGGAUCUGUCUUUUUCUGCUCCCUGAAUACAUAGGGCUGCUUUCCGGCACACAUUUCAUUUUCAGGUGAGUUCCUUUGUUGCCAUAGCAAUAUUACUCGUGUUUGGAAAGCCGCAGCUUUGGUUUUCUCCCAGGCCAUGCUGUCACACGCAGGCAGCACCCCGAGCCCAGCACAGAGCCGCACUGAGCUGCGCCGCAGCACGGAGGCAGAGGGGAGGGCCAUGGGGGAGCGCAGGGCUCCCACCCAAAGAUGCUCCUCUCUUCUCACCCUUCCACCCACACCUCACAGCGUGGCUUUGCAGUCAGGUCAAAGGAAACCCGGUGGCUUUGCUAAUUAGCACUUAUUAACGACGCUUCUCUGGCUGUGCCCGCAGCUCUCCCUCCAGGCACUGGCGCACAUGCAGCAACAAAACCCGUGUGCGCCCCAGAGAGCUCAGAAUCCCGUAAAUCCCAUUUGCUGCCACACAGGUGUCUCAUUUCCUUGCUCCGCAGAUCCCGGGCCCAGUGAAUUUAUUUUAUUACUCUGCUGAAGUAAAGGCUUUAAAUACUGCGGGACGUGCAUGACGGGGGUCUGUAACAGCAUUAAGAAAGGCACGAGGAAAAGGGAUUCCCCCGUAAGGGAACGGUUCUGUGGUCAUUUGGGUAAUAUGUAUUCUGUACAUGUGCCAGGAAUUAAGAUUUGAUUUUAAGUAUUUAUAUAUUAAAUAUUUAAUCUAGUCACAUCUAGUCAUUUGAUCCAGGAAGGUGGGAUCGCUGGGCUGACAUUGACAGGAUGAGCUUCAACACGACCAAGCGCCGGGUCCUGCAGUUAGGCCGAGCAGCUGGAAGGCUGUGUGGGAGAAAUGGACCUGGAGGUGCCGGCCAGAGCUCAGCUGAACAUCAGCCAGCAGUGUGUCCAGGUGGCCAAGAAGGCCAAUGGCAUCCUGGCUUGUAUCAGAAAUGGUGCAGCCAGCAGGAGCAGGGAAGUGAUCAUCCCGUUGUGCUCAGGACUGCUGAGGUGGCACCUUGAGUGCUGUGUUCAGUUUUGGGUCCCUCACUACAAGAAAGACAUCAACGCGCUGGAGUGUGUCCAGAGAAGGGCAGUGGAACUGUGAAGGGUGUGGAGCACAGAUCUUAUGGGAACUGAAGGAACUGGGAUUGUUCUGUGUGGAGGAGGCUCAGGGGAGACCUUACUGAUCACUACAGCUGCCUGACAGGAGGUUGUGGAGGGUGCAGGUUGGCCCCUUCUCCCCAGUAGCAGUGACAGCACAAUAGGUACCAGCCUUAAGUUGCGCCAGGGGAGGUUCAGGUGGGAAAUUAGGACAAAUUUCUUCACCAAAAGAGUGGCGAGGCACUGCAAUGGGCUGCCCAGGGGUGGGGUGGAGUCACCAUCCCUGGAGGUGUUCAAGAACCAUUUAGAUGUUGUACUCAGGGACAUGGUUUAGUGGGGAAAUACAGGUGGUCAGUGGACAGUUGGACUAGAUGAUCUUGGAGGUCUUUUCCAACCUUGGUGAUUCUAUGAUUCACACCAUUAAGUUAUUAAAAUACUUAAUGUUAAAUUCAAUUUUUUUCUGUACUUCUUUUAAUUAAAGCAGGCACAGAGGGCCACGCAUUAACCUAAAACCCACUCCGUGAUGCCACAUCAUAGCUAUGGCUGCGUGCUGGGAGGCUGUUCUGCUGCACCACCAUAAGCUGUUCACGUAGAUCACGUUUAAAGGCUGUUUUUGCUUGCUUUGUUUGUUUGUUUGCUUUUGUUUUUUAAUUCUGAAUAAGCCCCGUUCGGAUUAACAAGCAGAGGCUGCGUGCACACAGCAGACCCGUGGGUGCUGCAAGCCUUGCUGCGAUGCAGGCAGCAGAUGACAGCUGCAGGGCUGUGCGGCUACGGGGCUGCGGGGAUGAUGCAGGCAGAGCAGCGGGCAGCAGUGCUGGGGGCACACAGCCCUGUGACGUUGCCUUUCUGUGGGGGAAUGCCACCGGAGCAGCCAUUCCGGCAGCAUUAGGGCUGUGGUGGCUCCCAGGAUUACCCACGCACAGCCCUCCCAUCCCCGGCAGAAUCGCUGUGCCCAAACACAAUAGGAGCCUGGAAGAAAGCAACGGCCUCGACAAUGAGUUUCUCUGCUUUUAUAGGUUUUAGUGGAGCCCAUUGUGCUGUUUUAACACCCUUUUUUGUAUUUCGAUUCCUAAUAUCUUUGACUGGGGGAAGGGUGGAGAGGGCACCGAUUUAAUUCGAUAAUCCCCCUAAGCCUUGCUUAAUGCACUCACUCUAUUUUGUGCCUGUGAAUUUUAUAGUGGUAUUUGGGGUGGUUGCAGCACUGCACUGGAAUACGUCCCACCAUUUAUUUUGCAGCCAUUGGAGGGAAAUGGCUCGCAGUGCUGAGCAGCCUAUUCACUGCGCUCACAUUGUCAAACCCAACAAACCGUCAGCCCAGAUGUGGUCGGAUCCCGGGGCUGCAGCAGGGAUGUGGGGAAGGGAGUUCAGAGUCCGCUGCAAAUUGCUCAAAUGAAUAUCUAACCACGAGCAGAAGGCUUCCUCCCUCUGCCAAAAUUCUGAGCUGGAUUUGGGUUGUGAGAACAGCUCAAGGCUCCUUCUGAAGGGUACCAAGACAGACAAGUCUUUGGGCUCCCAAAACUUCAUGGCUGUGCCAUGAGCAAUUUGCUCCUAGCAGGAACAUGAGGUGGUGCUGAGCCAUCCUGGGAGCAUCUCAGAAGGCUACAGCAGAGACAAAAAGUGCCAACGUAAGGGUCAGAAUGUCUGGGGCAGCUGGCAUGCAGCAGCAACAAAGCUAAGAUGAGAAGAAGGGGUUUGGAAGAGGUCAGGAUCAGAAAGACGGUGUCUGUAGGGAACCGGGUCAUCCAAAGAGGAGAAAAGAACAAAGGAAGAAAAAAUAUUAAGAGGCUGAGAUCUACCACAUUGACAGAGAAGACAGGAAGGUGUCCACAGACAUCUCAGAGAGAGGAGGAGACCUCAGCAGGAACAUGGCAGGGCUCCUGUAGUUUAGCAAACUGCCCAAGAAUGUGCAGAAUAAAAAGCUGCUUUUCCUUUUUUCACCUAUAGCCUGUGCAACUGCCUUCCUCAUUUCUUACAGCCCAGCAGUAAGGAUGUAAUGCCUCAUGAAAAUAAAUAUGGAUGGCUGGAAUUGUGUCUGUAAGGCUCCCAUUUGCCUUUCACAGCCUCAGCCCACAUCUUUCAGCCUUCCAUGCAAUUUCUCAUCAAACACCAGGACAGUACUCAGCCGCACAGAGCUCAUGGAUCUCAUAAACUCUACAGAAAAGCUUUCUUUAUUGGCAUAAAAGACACAACAGGAUAAGUAUUUGGAGGUGUUGAAAAACACUUCACCAGACAUUAAAUUAUAUUAUUUAUUCUAUCAAGAAAAGCUCUAAGGGACAUCCCAAAAAUGUGAGCCGUCUUCCAAUGGAGAUAAGAAAGAGAACACACGUACCAGCAAGCUGUUUCUAAAGCUCUGAUCAGCUGAGGCAAGAAAAAAAAGAAGUUGAUGGUGGGAGAUUGUGCAAAUUGAACUCCUGAGGAUAUUAAAAAAAAAAGAGUAUUUCCAAAGAUAAGAAGCUGGAAGGCUAUAAAAGAAUGUAUCCAUCCACUAAAUGAUGGGAGUUCAAGAGCUAAAUGAAACAGUUGCCCAGGGAGGUGGUGGAGUCACCAUCCACGGAGGUGUUCUACAACUGUAGGGAUGUAGCACUGAGGGAAAUGGUUAUGGGCAUGGUGGAGGUGGGAUGGGGUUGGUUGGACUCGGGGAUCUUAGUGGUCCUUUCCAACCUUAAUGGUUCUAUGAUUCUACAAUUCGAUGUGGAUCACUGUUUCCUACAGAGGAAUGGAUGGAGGUUUCCAAAUCAAAGCCCUUCUUCAAGAGGGAUGAGAUUGAGAAAUUUUCUCACAAUGAAGAUCAGCAGAGAAGACUUUAAGCUGAAUAAAUAAAAUUAAUGGCAACCAAAUUCCAGUAUGGGAUGGCAUUGACCAAAAGUCCUAGAGAAGGGCUCAGGCAUGAAUUACCCGAUUGCCUGACUGGUUUCAAGCUCAUUGGCCAGAGCAGGCCUGAUACUGAAGGAAUGGAACAAAAAAAUGGAACUAAACAAAGAUAAUGCAAAAUAAUGGCAAUGGAAGCUACAGAUAAGUAGAAAUGGGCUCUGAGCUAUGACAAUUUAAUGAGGAGAUGCUGGCUUCAUUAUGCUGAUCGCUCUGUAGUGCCUCACACGAUGCUCAGAGAUAGUCAAAGGCAAACAGGAGGGAAUGGGGAACAAAUAAAAACAAGUGUUGUGAUGCCAGUGGACAAUCAGCAGUUUCAGUCCUCCCAUCUCAAAAUGGGCACAGCAGUGUGAAAAAAGGUGGAGGACAACAGAAGGGAGUUGGGCUUGGAGCUGCCCUGUGUGUGAGUAGGGUUGGGCUUUGCUGUUUGGAGGGGACACCCAAAAGGGGAUGUGGUGCAGGCCCCCAACCAGCAGCUUUAGAAACUCUUACUGCUGUGGGCAAACUUAUUCAAGGCAGUUUUCUAAUUCAUCACCUUGUGUGCUAAUUUAUAUUUAAUUUUUAUUUCUAUAAAACUGUACUCAAAGGGUGUUAAUGAGCUUAUUAAUAAUGUUUACACGUUAUGGAUAUUGAUAAAUAUAUUCAGAAAAUUAAUGGAUAUUUUUAAUUAAAUAAAACCAGCACUUUAAAAAACUCUUAGCAACUUGGUGGGGUCCCUCACAAAAAUACCCAUUACUUCUGUAAAACCAAAUUAAAAUGCAAUAAUUCUGACAACCUAGAAGAGAAAGGAUAGAGGGGUCUAAGCGACACGCUUGGUGGAUGGAGUGACAGCAGCAUUUGCAUUCCCAGCUCUGCGGGGACAGACAUGAUGAAUUCUGAGCCACGCAGGCAGACACAGUGUGCCCAGACUGACUGCAAAGCUAUGGGCACCCCAGCAGGAAAAGCUGAAGAUGCAGGAUCAGGCCCUGCAAAUUAAACAGACAAACAAACAAAAACCCACAGUCCAUAACAGGGUUCAGCAAGAUGUGAAGUUGUUGAAUUAUCUCAGCCGGGAAACGUCAGGUAGCAUUUCUGAGGAGAGCCCUUUGUGCACAUCGUCCCCGGAGCGAGCAGAGCAGGAGCCAUUUGCAUGAGCACUGCGCUGAGCAGCUGCAGAACGCUGGGCGCAGAGGGCUCGCACCAACCCACGCUCCUGGCGAGGCAGGAUCCCAUCCAGAGCUACAGAUGUGGGCACUGCCACUGCAACAGCACCAAUGAGGAGAGCUGCCUCGUCACUUGCAGCUAUAGACAGGUGGCAUCUUGUGUGCUAGCAAAUGGAUCUGCAGCUUCACCAGAGGAAGAGACACCACAUUUACAUGACACGGAACAAAUCUCUGAACUCAGACGAACUAUUUUAAGAUGGAAUUUAGAAACAAAGGAGAGUGUUGCCCUGACCGUUUCCCAACAGCCUUUCCUGUGGGAUAGAGCUACACGGAACUCUCGGUUAUGGAGCACCACCCAGAGGGCAGAGCGGAGGGAUGCAGAAGUGAGAUGAUCGGGUACGUAAAAAUAGCAGAGAUCCUACAGCAGAUCUUACAUAACCACCAGCAGGUACCGGAUUGUUAUUUAACAGAUGUCGUCAAGAGAAAAAACUGUGAAAAGGAGAUUGCUUUGUCAAGAGAGGAUGUUUAUGGGCACACAGGACCUCUGCACGCAAGCAAAUGUGUCUGUUUUGUUAAUGAUUUAGCACCUCUUAUUUACUCAAACAAACUACAAUGCCAAAAUUUCAUUUUGAGGUUACUGCAUUUUGAUACCACCUUAAAGUAAGCUUUGGCUUUUCAAUACCUGUAUUUGGUUUCAGCUGUAUAGUACAAAGCACCAGUUCUGAAACUGCUUCUAAAUAGCACUUAUUUUUGUAUCAGUUACAGAAAAACUUGGAUUUCAUUUCAGGAACAAUGAGUGUCCUUGUGUCUCACCUGGAUGCACAAGGAAAGGCCCGAGAUUAGCAGAAAGCAUAUAAAAAAAAUGGAUGAUAGUUAGUCAAAAAUGUAAAAAAAAUGCUUAACCUCCUGUAGUCUAAAUCCAAAGGGAUUCGGACACAUGCAUUCCCAUAUACAUUUACUGGAGAGGAAAGGUACAGUCCGAGUACCACCCAGCACACCCACAUGGUUCUAACCUCAACUUUCUGAUUUGCAGCUGUGCUGUAUUACUGUCUCCCCAGGCAUGUCCUGACACUAUGCUAAAGCUAGAGAACAGACAGCAGAAUUUGACUCAUCCAGAAUAUAUAGUAAUAAAUACAGUAAGAGAGACACUCAUUUGGUGUUACAAGCCGAAUAAGGAGAAGAUAAUUGAUUUUAGCAGUGAAAUUAAAGAGAGGUAAAUCCUGUUUACUUGCAUGUCCUCUCAACUACAGCAUUACAGUGAGAGGUGACAGACAAAAGCUGGAACAUGGGAAGUCCAGAUAAGGAAACGAUUUUGGACUACAAGGAUGGUCAGACUGGAAGGGGUUGGGUUGCCCAGAGAGGUUGCCCAACCUUCUUUCCUUCAAGGUGUUCAGACUUGUUUGGUCAAACACAAUAUUUUAGGCCUGCUCUGUGCAGGACGGGGAUUGGGUGACCUCUGGAGGUCUCCCCCAAGAAAAGCAAAACCCUCUCUUUUUUGAGAGGUUUUUGCAAUAUCAAAUGGGCAGAAGCAAUGGGCGGUUGAGUCAAGAGUUGCCAAAGCCAAGCUUUUCAGAGGGUUAAAUGCACUAGGUUAAUCAGACUUAUUUAAUAUUAAGAGUGGUUUUGGUAAGUUAAUUGUACAACGGCACAAGUAUGAGGCAUUUUUUUCUGAGAUUUUUUCCCUGCAGGUUCUCACUUGGAGUAAGAUGCACAUACAGAGAUGCUAUGCUGCAGAACCAGGGUGCUUAUUAGCACCAAGCAAUAUCAGUAAGAGGGUAGAAAGGCAGAACUGAGUCUGUGAAAGUAUGAAAAAUGCACAUGCGUGCAGGAAAUCAAAAUCUCCUGGACCAGCUUCACCUAUGACCCAUAUGUGGAACCUCAACAAGAUCUCUUCCACCACGAUAUUUGUCACAAUUUCCCCCCCUACAUGUUCAGCACUCGUUACCCACCCUUUCAGGCCUUUUACAGAUCUGAAUGCUUUGUGAUAAUCUGCGCUCUGUCUGGGAAGGGCACAUGAGGGAGAGGGAGGUGAUCCUGCAGCAUUUGACAAGUUUGGCCACAGCAGAAUGAGAUUGAUUUUAUUCUAUGGGACAAUGUGUAGAUUAAAGUUUCAUCUAAAGAUUUCCACUC
Long non-coding RNA from Gallus gallus (chicken), 10117 nucleotides. RefSeq lists it as uncharacterized. The record is from RefSeq and is a predicted model, not a curated record. Lineage: Eukaryota; Metazoa; Chordata; Aves; Galliformes; Phasianidae. The transcript is spliced from 3 exons.